GAUUGGUAUUUUACAGAAAAGUUAUAUGAUUAAAUUAAAAUAUGAAAUGAAUGGCCGCGUGAAUUCUAUUAAUAAAAAAUAAUCAUCUUCAUAAAUGUUAACAACCGAUAGUGUAGUACAUGUGCGGCGAUUGGACUUCAAUCAGAACAUUCUAGAAUCUUCGAGAACGUUCCUAACCCUAAGAUGGCUGCAGCCAGGCGAUAACCCCGGCCGAGCCGCAUAGUUUUAACAAGAAAAACCGACAUUUUCCGUAUAAAUAACAUUCAAAGCUUGGUGCAACCUAAACAUAAUCAAUUAUUACAUAAUUCUACAUUCAUAUUAAUUGACUAGUGUUAAAUUUCGAUUGAUUUUACUACAACUUCGGCUUAAUGGCACAUGGUAUCUCCUAACCUAAACGCAGACAUGACUGUCGGCCGCCGUGACCGCAAUUUCUUGCUGUCGAUGAGAUCGGAUAUUAAACAAAUCAAAAUAUUGAAUGAUAGGAAGUCGGUUUGGCCCUCGAGAUUAUACCCGCUGGAAGCUGUGGGUGGGGGUAACACUUUAAAAGAAAUAAUCCGCUGCCACUCAACAAAUUCUCAGAAAAUAGCAACUACUGUAAUGCAUCCGGUAAGUAGGUACAAUUUAAAAUACUAACAAUACAGUUGAAACAAACACAUUUAGAAUACCAUGAUAUCAUUGGGGAAUAAAUAGAAAAUACAACAUAAUUGUAACAUUGUUUCACUUUUUCUUGAAGAAGUUCAUCAAUGUUGGCUGAUUUGCAGGUUUAAUCGCUUGUUUCUUCUUUUUAUUGUUUGAUGGUGGUGAUACUUUUUAUUAUCCGCAGGCGAUGCUUUCUUCUGUGGUUCCUGCUUCUUCGGUGGAUUUUCUUUGUCUUCUUCCUCGCUUUCAGCACUUUCAUAGACUAAUUCUUUUCUGUGACUGAAAAUUUAUUAAAGCAAUUAAAUUAUAUUAAUAUGUAAAUAA
This is a long non-coding RNA of Dalotia coriaria, 963 nucleotides long. RefSeq lists it as uncharacterized. The transcript has 2 exons. NCBI's taxonomy places the organism in Eukaryota, Metazoa, Arthropoda, Insecta, Coleoptera, Staphylinidae. The record is from RefSeq and is a predicted model, not a curated record.